CCUGGUGUCUAUGGCGCUGUGGAACCACUCUGAACCCUUCCCGAACUCAGUUGUGAAACGCUGCUGCGGCGACGAUAGUUGGAGGGACACCUCCUGCAAAAAUAGCUCGAUGCCAGGA
Ribosomal RNA from Fischerella sp., 118 nucleotides. Lineage: Bacteria; Bacillati; Cyanobacteriota; Cyanophyceae; Nostocales; Hapalosiphonaceae. The record is from Rfam.